CCCCCAGUAGCGGCGAGCGAACGGGGAGCAGCCCAGAGCCUGAAUCAGUGUGUGUGUUAGUGGAAGCGUCUGGAAAGGCGCGCGAUACAGGGUGACAGCCCCGUACACAAAAAUGCACAUGCUGUGAGCUCGAUGAGUAGGGCGGGACACGUGGUAUCCUGUCUGAAUAUGGGGGGACCAUCCUCCAAGGCUAAAUACUCCUGACUGACCGAUAGUGAACCAGUACCGUGAGGGAAAGGCGAAAAGAACCCCGGCGAGGGGAGUGAAAAAGAACCUGAAACCGUGUACGUACAAGCAGUGGGAGCACAGAGCAAUCUGUGUGACUGCGUACCUUUUGUAUAAUGGGUCAGCGACUUAUAUUCUGUAGCAAGGUUAACCGAAUAGGGGAGCCGAAGGGAAACCGAGUCUUAACUGGGCGUUAAGUUGCAGGGUAUAGACCCGAAACCCGGUGAUCUAGCCAUGGGCAGGUUGAAGGUUGGGUAACACUAACUGGAGGACCGAACCGACUAAUGUUGAAAAAUUAGCGGAUGACUUGUGGCUGGGGGUGAAAGGCCAAUCAAACCGGGAGAUAGCUGGUUCUCCCCGAAAGCUAUUUAGGUAGCGCCUCGUGAAUUCAUCUCCGGGGGUAGAGCACUGUUUCGGCAAGGGGGUCAUCCCGACUUACCAACCCGAUGCAAACUGCGAAUACCGGAGAAUGUUAUCACGGGAGACACACGGCGGGUGCUAACGUCCGUCGUGAAGAGGGAAACAACCCAGACCGCCAGCUAAGGUCCCAAAGUCAUGGUUAAGUGGGAAACGAUGUGGGAAGGCCCAGACAGCCAGGAUGUUGGCUUAGAAGCAGCCAUCAUUUAAAGAAAGCGUAAUAGCUCACUGGUCGAGUCGGCCUGCGCGGAAGAUGUAACGGGGCUAAACCAUGCACCGAAGCUGCGGCAGCGACGCUUAUGCGUUGUUGGGUAGGGGAGCGUUCUGUAAGCCUGUGAAGGUGUACUGUGAGGUAUGCUGGAGGUAUCAGAAGUGCGAAUGCUGACAUAAGUAACGAUAAAGCGGGUGAAAAGCCCGCUCGCCGGAAGACCAAGGGUUCCUGUCCAACGUUAAUCGGGGCAGGGUGAGUCGACCCCUAAGGCGAGGCCGAAAGGCGUAGUCGAUGGGAAACAGGUUAAUAUUCCUGUACUUGGUGUUACUGCGAAGGGGGGACGGAGAAGGCUAUGUUGGCCGGGCGACGGUUGUCCCGGUUUAAGCGUGUAGGCUGGUUUUCCAGGCAAAUCCGGAAAAUCAAGGCUGAGGCGUGAUGACGAGGCACUACGGUGCUGAAGCAACAAAUGCCCUGCUUCCAGGAAAAGCCUCUAAGCAUCAGGUAACAUCAAAUCGUACCCCAAACCGACACAGGUGGUCAGGUAGAGAAUACCAAGGCGCUUGAGAGAACUCGGGUGAAGGAACUAGGCAAAAUGGUGCCGUAACUUCGGGAGAAGG
This 1470-nucleotide ribosomal RNA is filed under the name Escherichia coli. RNAcentral describes it as "partial 23S ribosomal RNA". It matches the Rfam family "Bacterial large subunit ribosomal RNA", at positions 237 to 1746 of the family's 2925-position model. Lineage: Bacteria; Pseudomonadati; Pseudomonadota; Gammaproteobacteria; Enterobacterales; Enterobacteriaceae. The record is from RNAcentral.